RNAcentral lists this unclassified non-coding RNA (376 nucleotides) under uncultured bacterium. RNAcentral describes it as "contains 16S-23S intergenic spacer region". The record is from RNAcentral.
UCACCGCUUGCGCGGGCAGUUCCAUUAGAGUCCCCGGCCGAACCGCUGGCAACUAAUGGUAGGGGUUGCGCUCGUUGCGGGACUUAACCCAACACCUCACGACACGAGCUGACGACAGCCAUGCAGCACCUGUCUCACGGUUCCCGAAGGCACAUCCGCAUCUCUGCAGACUUCCGUGGAUGUCAAGCCCAGGUAAGGUUCUUCGCGUCGCGUCGAAUUAAACCACAUGCUCCGCUGCUUGUGCGGGCCCCCGUCAAUUCCUUUGUGUUUUAGCCUUGCGGCCGUACUCCCCAGGCGGGGUGCUUAAUGCGUUAGCUGCGGCACGGAAAUCUCGCGAUCCCCACACCUAGCACCCACCGUUUACGGCUAGGACUAC